This 300-nucleotide long non-coding RNA is filed under the name Elaeis guineensis (African oil palm). Its description in RNAcentral is "long non-coding RNA (EGUI_LNC073106)". Lineage: Eukaryota; Viridiplantae; Streptophyta; Magnoliopsida; Arecales; Arecaceae. The record is from RNAcentral.
GUCCACAAGCCUUCUUCCAUGUUGGCUCCCUCUACCUUCAUCUAUUCCUUCUCUUCCUCCUCACUCACAGCUCUUCCUUAUCCUACUCCUCCAAACCCACUCAUGAGCCUUCUCUCUCCAUGGUGGCUCUCUCCAUCUCCACCUCUUUGUUGGGAAUAUGAAAUAUAAAUUCAUUUUCUAUGAUAGCCGAUUGCAAUUUAAUCGAACUAACAACUAGAAUCUAUUAUCAAAUUAAUUUUAAAUUUAAUUAAAAAAAUAUAGAAAAUUAACGAAGAUAACUUAUCCAGAAGCAUGUUGCGC